RNAcentral lists this ribosomal RNA (468 nucleotides) under uncultured bacterium. Its description in RNAcentral is "partial 16S ribosomal RNA". It matches the Rfam family "Bacterial small subunit ribosomal RNA", at positions 28 to 507 of the family's 1533-position model. The record is from RNAcentral.
GACGAACGCUGGCGGCGUGCUUAACACAUGCAAGUCGAACGGAAAGGCCCUGCUUUUGUGGGGUGCUCGAGUGGCGAACGGGUGAGUAACACGUGAGUAACCUGCCCUUUACUUUGGGAUAACUUCAGGAAACUGGGGCUAAUACCGGAUAGGAGCUCCUGCUGCAUGGUGGGGGUUGGAAAGUUUCGGCGGUUGGGGAUGGACUCGCGGCUUAUCAGCUUGUUGGUGGGGUAGUGGCUUACCAAGGCUUUGACGGGUAGCCGGCCUGAGAGGGUGACCGGCCACAUGGGGCCUGAGAUACGGCCCAGACUCCUACGGGAGGCAGCAGUGGGGAAUAUUGCACAAUGGGCGGAAGCCUGAUGCAGCAACGCCGCGUGCGGGAUGACGGACUUCGGGUUGUAAACCGCUUUCGCCUGUGACGAAGCGUGAGUGACGGUAAUGGGUAAAGAAGCACCGGCUAACUACGUG